Long non-coding RNA from Rattus norvegicus (Norway rat), 2463 nucleotides. RefSeq lists it as uncharacterized. Lineage: Eukaryota; Metazoa; Chordata; Mammalia; Rodentia; Muridae. The record is from RefSeq and is a predicted model, not a curated record.
UACAAACUUGGCUGGAUCCAUGGGCCUCUCCAUGUGUACUCUUUGAUUGGUGGUUUAGUCCCUGGUAGCUGUAGGAGUUCUGGUUGGUUGAUGAUGUUGUUCUUCCUGUGGGGCUGCAAACCCCAUCAGCUCUUUCAGUACUUUCUCUAACUCCUCCAUUGGGGUCCCCAUGCUCAGUCUGAUGGUUAGCUGCAAGCAUCCUCAUCUGUGUCAAUAAGGCUCUGGCAGAGACUUAAAGGAGACAUCCACAUCAGACUCCUGUCAGCAAGUACAUCUUGGCAUCAGCAUAGUGACUGGGUUUGAUGGCUGCAUAUUGGAUGGAUCACCAGGUGGGACAGUCUCUGGAUGGCCUGUCCUUCAGUCUCUGCUCCACUCGUUGUCCCUGAAUUUCCUCCUGUGAGUAUUUUGUUUCCCCUUCUAAGAGGGACUGAAGCAUCCUUAUUUUGGUCUUCCUUCUUCUUGAGCUUCAGGUGGUCUGUAAAUUGUAUCUUGGGUAUUCCAAGCUUUUGGGCUAAUAUGCAUUUAUCAGUGAGUGCAUACCAUGUAUGUUCUUUUGUAAUUGAAUUACCUCACUCAAGAUGAUAUUUUCUAGUUCCAUCCAUUUGCCUAAGAAUUUCAAGAAGUCGUUGUUUUUAAUAGCUGAGUAGUGUAUAUAAUAGCCAGAAGCUGGAAAAAAAACACAGAGGAAUGGAUACAGAAAAUGUAGUACAUGUCUACAAUGGAGUGUUACUUUCUUUAUUGCAGAGUAUUUACUGUAUGUCAAAGUUUUCUGUUGUGAAUUAACACAAAGAAUUGGUCUUCUGUGAAUGUUUUUUAUAAUAGCUGAAUUAUGAUUUAAUGGGGUGCUUUUAAAACUUUUUUUGUGAACAAAAUAAUAAAAAUUCUAAAACUUAUGGUGUUUCCAAAACAUUGUGAGGUAAAAAGGUAAUUAAAGAAGAAAAACCAAAGGAAGAUAAAAUGGAGGAAAAGCCGGUUGGAUUAUGAGAUUUGGCUGGUCUCCUAGGAGAUAGGAAAUGAGAAACUUCAAAGGGGAGAAGCUGUCAUAUUACUAUUUAAUUCUAUGUUUCCAUACAGGAUGCUUAAUAUGCUAAUUAUGCAUUCAAGCUUGUCCUCAAAUACUGUUCCUUCCUGUUUUCUUCUGUUGACAGUUGAUUGGUUCUCAUCAAAAUAAAAAGACCUUGUUUAUUGAGGAUUUCUGACAUUGUCAUUACAUGCUUGCAGAUAUUUUUCACAGGAAAGUACUCAACAUGCUACUCAAAAUGAAAUGUGGAUACCCACUCAGCCACCAAACUUUUGACCUACAGUCUGUUCUGCCUGCAAAAUAUGCUAGGACAGUGGUUCCAGAGAACAUGUAGCCUGGAAGGCAAAGGAUGGAAUUCAUUUGUGAAUGAUGAACACUGAAUGGAAACACUUGGAGGACAAGGUGGUGGCUCAUGAAGCGCAGGAGGAGAUAGGGUUCUCUAGCAGGCGUACAGAAAUAAAGAAAUCAAACCCUGUCUGGAGAAGUUGCUUGUAUUGUGUACAUUUUACCAGGGGCUGAUGAUAAAGAAACUCUCGUGCCUCAGACACUUACCAAGAGGGCCAGCCUUAUCAAGAAACCCCUUCGCAGCAUCUGUUGUGGGCUGUACAGCAGACUGGUCAGCAAUCUCAGUGAGUGGAACCUGCAGACCAUCGCCUGGAUGCAUUGUAUGUGCGAGUGAGAAGAGGUCACCUGAGAAUGCAGAGGAAGAUAAGUCUUGACUCAGCAAAACACCAUGUGAGUCUGCAACAUCUGACAUAUCCAGGCACUUCCACUUCAACAGAGAAUUAUGUUGAUGGAUUUCCAUAUAUUGAACCAUCCCUGCAUCCCUGGAAUGAAGCCUACUUGAUCAUGAUGGAAGAUAAGUUCAAUGAGUUCUUGGAAUUGCAACAGGUGAUCGAUUCCAGAUGGCAUGUGUGAAGUGCUCUGAAAUGCUGGAUGUUUUCAUGCUAGAAACUUAUUUGCAUGAAUUAGUUAAAAGGGUUAAAUCUUGGGAGUUGCUGCAUGCUAGCAAGAACACUACCAUGCCGUGCCCGGCCUAUAACAUCUCUCCAUCUACUCUCUGAAAGACAGCCUCAUCUUUAGGUAUCAGCAAUUUGGUUUCCAUUUUCGUUUCUUCUCAGGUACUUCUGGCCUUUUCCAGUGAUAUCAUCAACUGGAAAUAAAUUCAUCUUCUUAAUUAAAAAAAAAUCCAGAACAUUUUUUCCAAAUUGGAUAUUGGCUAAUAUAGGAACAUAAAACUAAGAAGCAAACAUGCUUGCUGCUAAGUAAGAAAAGGAGUAAACUGAAGAAGGACUCAAGGAUCUAUUUUACCUUUAGCUUUUUGAGAAUUCAGGUGGACCAUUCUUGUAACACUGACUCUCACAAUCAUGUGUGAGUCACCCACUUUGUCACAUGCUUUGUCACCCACUCUACCAGCCAUUAAAGAAUAGAUGAGCUACCUC